RNAcentral lists this ribosomal RNA (464 nucleotides) under uncultured bacterium. RNAcentral's name for it is "SSU rRNA". It matches the Rfam family "Bacterial small subunit ribosomal RNA", at positions 26 to 518 of the family's 1533-position model. The record is from RNAcentral.
AGAACGAACGCUGGCGGCAUGCCUAACACAUGCAAGUCGAACGCUCACCGGGCUUCGGUUCGGUGGGAGUGGCGCACGGGUGAGUAGCGCGUGGGAACCUGCCCUGUUGUGGGGGAUAACCGAGGGAAACUUCGGCUAAUACCGCAUGCGCCCGGGGAAACCCGGGGAAAGAUUUAUCGCAGCAGGAGGGGCCCGCGUCGGAUUAGGUAGUUGGUAGGGUAACGGCCUACCAAGCCUUUGAUCCGUAGCUGGUCUGAGAGGAUGAUCAGCCACACUGGGACUGAGACACGGCCCAGACUCCUACGGGAGGCAGCAGUGGGGAAUAUUGGACAAUGGGCGCAAGCCUGAUCCAGCAAUGCCGCGUGAGUGAUGAAGGCCUUAGGGUUGUAAAGCUCGUUUCGGCGGGGACGAUGAUGACGGUACCCGCAGAAGAACGCCCCGGCUAACUUCGUGCCAGCAGCCGC